UGGGCAUUGGAAAGAGAAGAGAGAGAGAGUGUGGCAUGGAGAAGAAGAAAAUGAGAGAGAUCUAAUUUUUUAAUCAAAUAAAAAUAAUUUCUUUAAAAUCUUAGGAGACCUUCUCAUUAUAUAGGCCUUUCCUUGAUUCAAAACAGGAACCAAUUAACUUAAAAAGGUACAUCCUUAUCUCAUAAAAAAUUUUAUCUUUUUACUCUGA
This 208-nucleotide long non-coding RNA is filed under the name Elaeis guineensis (African oil palm). RNAcentral's name for it is "long non-coding RNA (EGUI_LNC064283)". Lineage: Eukaryota; Viridiplantae; Streptophyta; Magnoliopsida; Arecales; Arecaceae. The record is from RNAcentral.